This 294-nucleotide signal recognition particle RNA is filed under the name Callithrix jacchus (white-tufted-ear marmoset). RNAcentral describes it as "Metazoan signal recognition particle RNA (ENSCJAG00000061994.2)". It matches the Rfam family "Metazoan signal recognition particle RNA". Rfam says of the family: The signal recognition particle (SRP) is a universally conserved ribonucleoprotein. It is involved in the co-translational targeting of proteins to membranes. The eukaryotic SRP consists of a 300-nucleotide 7S RNA and six proteins: SRPs 72, 68, 54, 19, 14, and 9. Lineage: Eukaryota; Metazoa; Chordata; Mammalia; Primates; Cebidae. The record is from Rfam by way of RNAcentral.
GCUGGGCAUGGUGGCGCGUGCCUGUAAUCCCAGCUACUCAGGAGGCUGAGGCAGGAGAAUUGCCUGAACCCAGGAGGCGGAGGUUGCGGUGAGCCGAGAUCGCACCAUUGCACUCCAGCCUGGGUAACAAACAAAAAAAAAAUUUAGAAAGUCCACCUGGGAUGCUAACAGAGAAAAGUAAUUUUUUUUUUUUUGAGACAGAGUUUUACUCGUUACCCAGGCUGGAGUGCAGUGGUGCAAUCUCAGCUCACUGCAACCUCCACCUCCUGGAUUCAAGUGAUUCUCCUGCCUCUC